Long non-coding RNA from Anolis carolinensis (green anole), 4660 nucleotides. RefSeq lists it as uncharacterized. NCBI's taxonomy places the organism in Eukaryota, Metazoa, Chordata, Lepidosauria, Squamata, Anolidae. The transcript has 2 exons. The record is from RefSeq and is a predicted model, not a curated record.
GCAAAUGUGAGUAGAUCAUUAGGUACUGCUCCGGCGAGAAGGUAACGGCACUCCAUGCCGUCAUGCCGGCCACAUGACCUUGGAGGUGUCUACGGACAACACCAGCUGUUGGGCUUAUAAAUGGAGAUGAACACCAAUUCCCAGAGUUGGACAUGACUGGACUUUUUUUUUGAAAUAUUUUUAUUGGAAAUUUUGUGCUUGAGGUUAAAAAAGAAAUAUGCAAGUAAUAGAGUUUUCACAUCGAAAGUGGGAGAACACUGAUUGUUUAUAGAAAGUAGGAAAUGAUAUAAGAGAGAGAAUAUAAGAAGAAAAAAGGAAAAAGAGAGAAAUUUGUCCGAUUUAUCCUCGGCUUUUUAUUUUGCUAUAUGAAUUUGGAAAUGUCUUUAUGCCAAAUAUUAAAAAUGCUUAGAUUCCUUAUAAUUGGGAACGACUGGAAUAAGUAGAGCAAUUUGGGUAACACAUUCAUUUUGAUAAUUGAGAUUUUGCCAAGAAGAGAUAGCUUCAAAUUUUUCCAGUUAUCCAAAUACUGGACAUGACUGGACUUAAUGUCAGGGGAAAACCUUUACCUUUACCUUAAAUGCAGGUGAGACGUAGCAAUAGCUAAUCAUCAUCAUCAUCAUCAUCAUCAUCAUCAUCAUCAUCAUCAUCAUCAUCAUCAUCAUCGAAGCUAGAGUCCAGGAUUGAUAAACAAAAGUAGGGUCCGAUUGCUAAAAAUGCUCAUUUCCCAAAAACAGCAUUGACUAGUUGUCCACUGGUGUUAGUGGUGAUUUUUAAAACAACAACUCUGAAAAAUGCUUUAGAAUGGCCAAUCUUCUAAAAAAAAUGGAAAUGUAUGGGUUCCAUGGGAUUCAGGGAUCACAUUGGCUCCCCUUUUGCCCAUCUUGUUAAUGCUUUUUCCUUUUUCUUGACAUGACUGCUGAUUUAAGGAAAGCGAGGAAAAAAGACUCACGGAAGGCACUUUGCUAAUAUCAAGCCCGAUGAAUAAUUAAACUCCUUCGAGUGUAAAUGCGUUGAGUUCCAGUUGCUUCUUUAAACCCUGGCUCGGCAGAAGACCUUUUCCUCCUCUCUCCUGAAGGUACAUCGAUAACGCUUUAGCCCCCCGCGGCUGUUGAUGCGGCUGCUGAUGCUUUUCCCCUCCGCGGGGCUCCUGCUCGCUGUUUCCAAAGAUGGACACCAGAUCCCCAAUCCGGCGGCGCAACUUUAAUGCGGCCUUUUGAUGCUCCGCAGCGGGGACUGUGUUUGACAAGCUCAGCCGGCAGGAGGGAACAAGGGAGAAGAGAGCGGAGGGAGAGGAGACCCAGCAGGGCCAGAGCCUCCAAACAAGACAAGCUCGGAAAAUACAAACCCCAGAACAACCAUGUUUUUAAUGCGUCGUGCCUGAAGUUCACAGCUAGACAGAUUCACAUUCGAAAGAGCUGUACUUGCCAGGCCGUGACCGAGCACUUCUGGCAACACGUUGGUGGCGUGGAUGCACCCGUAAUGACUCGGGUCUCAUGCGCCAUCGGAUCUAAUGCGCACCUCCGUUUCCCAAGCCCUGAAACCCAAUAAAGCACUUACUUACUUACUUACUUAGGCGAUCCCUCAUAGUUUGAGGAUGAUUGUCUUCCAUCUUGGGUGUGUAUUCUUGACCUGCAUGUUCUCCUGCAAUGAGGACAUCGGUUCCCAGGUGGAAGGCGGUCCCGGUCAGGGUUGGCUUGACGCUCCUUCCUCUUGGCACGUUUCUCCCCUAAGCCCUCCAUUCGUGCCUCUUCAAACUCCGCAGCACUGCUGGUCACAGCUGACCUCCAAUUAGAGCGCUCAAGGGCCAGGGCUUCCCAGUUCUCAGUGUCUAUGCCACAGCUUUGAGGCCAUCUUUAAAUCUCUUUUCCUGCCCACCAACAUUCCGUUCCCCGUUCUUGAGUUCGGAGUAAAGCAACUGCUUUGGGAGACGGUGAUGGGAUUCGGACAACGUGGCCAGUCCAGCGGAGUUGAUGGCGUAGGAGCAUCGCUUCAAUGAUGAUGGUCUUUGCUUACUCAAGCAUGCUGACAUUUGUCCACCUGUCUUCCCAAGAGAUUUGCAGGAUUUUUCCGAGACAACGCUGAUGGAAACGCUCCAGGAGUUUGGUGUGAUGUCUGUAGACCGUCCAUGUUUCACAGGGUUGGGAGGGGAAUGGCUUUAUAAACAAGCACCUUGGUUUCUCUACGGAUGUUCUGAUCAUCAAACACUCUCUGAUUCAUUCUGAAAAAUGCUGCACUCGCAGAGCUCAGCCGGUGUUGUAUUUCAGUGUCGAUGUUGACUUUUGUGGAGAGGUGGCUGCCAAGGUAGCGGAAAUAGUCAACGUUUUCUAAUGUUACACCAUUAAGCUAUAUUCCUGGCAUUGCAGAGGGAUUAGCGGGUGCCUGUUGGAAGAGCACUUUGGUUUUCUCGAUGUUCAAUGAGAGGCCGAGCUUCUUGUAUGCUUCUGCAAAGGUGUUUAGGGUGGCUUGUAUGUCUUCUUCUGAGUGCGCACAAUAAAGUAUUUGCUGGUCUAAACUUAGAAAAAUUCCUCAUCAUACACUCUAAUGGGGUGUGGCAUUUCUUACUCUCUCCCUGCCCUAUUUUCCUCCUAGGGUGGUACCUAUCUGGUUGUGGCACACUCUCAAAUGGGCAAUCUCAACCUCUCACCCUGAUGUGUCUUUCUGUUUACUAGUCUAGACUUUUUUCUUCCCCGAAACAAAAACUCUACUUGCCUGGUCCUGAUGCCUGGCAUUCCCUGCCGUUCCCGGGGACGAGAUUUCUGAACUUCUCUCUCGGGUGGAGUGUUCCCGCUGGCGAUGGCAGCCUAUCUGGUCGAGCGAGAAGGGACGGUCUGAUGUUAUUUCGGGAUCCCGUUUCUCGUCCUCUUGGUCGAUCGCCUUGACCGGGCAGCGGUCGCCUUCACGGAACGAGUUGACAACAACUCCUAGCGUCCCGCCAAGCCAGCACUCCUGCCUUUCGCCCCACGUUGGGCACCAGAAAUGUUGGGGACCCCCGGCUUGGGGUCUCCGUGUGGUCCGUGGCAGUAGGCAGCAAAUGAUGAGAGACCAGUCUCCAGAGGUAAAGCAGAAUCUCAUUUAUUUUCCUUGCACAGCUGUGAAGUGGCAGAACAGUCAGAACUCCGGAGAGUUCUAUUCAAAGGACUUCUGCCCCGAAUGAGUCGAGGGCCACUGCUUUUAUAGCCAGUAAUAAACAUCUUACAUCAACAAUUUCAGACGUCUUAGGUCAACAAUUUCAUUUCCCUUAUGUAUGUAUUUCUUAACUUUUCUAUACUAUUUUUAAUUAUGCUUAUGGUUAUGGUUUCGCAAAACAAAGACCAAAAGGAAGUGGGUGAGGGUACAUCUGGAUGGGAGAGGGACUUUUCUUCCUAUACAUCUCUCUGGGUCAUCUUGACCUAGUAGACUUGACCUGACUCCCUUCCUCCGGCUUGGGGUUUCAUUCUGCUGACAUCUUGUUUCUUUGUCUCUCCCCCGCACCAUCUUGAGCAUCUUGAGCAAUGUGACAAUGACCAACGGAGCAACUUUUUAUCCCCACUUGGAACAUUUGUCCUAGCUUGCUAACCACAAAUGCAUCACAGAAUAACAGACAAAGGUUAACUUCUCUAUUGCUGUCUCCUCAAUCUUACAGAAAGGAAAAAGGUUGAGGGGUUCUCUUUAGUUCAAGUUGUCAGCAAAGCUUCUUAAUCACUUUAAUCAAUAGCCUCUAUCAAGGCGAUCCCUCGUAGUUCGAGGACGAUUGUCUUCAAUCUUGGCGGUGUGUCCGUAGAUGGCUGAAGAGACCUAUUCUUGACCCGCAUGUUCUCCCUUCCGCAGUGAGGACAUCGGUUUCCAGAUGGAAGGCGGUCCUGGUCAGGGUUGGCUUGACGCUCCUUCCUCUUGGCACGUUUCUCCCUUAAGCCCUCCAUUUGUGCCUCUUCGAACUCCGCAGCACUGCUGGUCACAGCUGACCUCCAAUUAGAGCGCUCAAGAGCCAGGGCUUCCCAGUUCUCAAUGUCUAUGCCACAGCUUUGAGGCCAACUUUAAAUCUUUUUUCCUGCCCAUCAACAUUACGUUUCCCGUUCUUGAGUUCGGAGUAGAGCAACUGCUUUGGGAGACGGUGAUCUUGGGCAUUCGGACAUCGUGCCCAGUCCAGCAGAGUUGAUGGCGUAGGAGCAUGGCUUCAAUGCUGGUGGUCUUUGCUUCCUCAAGCACGCUGACAUUUGUCCGCCUGUCUUCCCAAGAGAUUUGCAGUAUUUUUCAGAGGCAACGCUGAUGGAAACACUCCAGGAGUUUGGUGUGAUGUCUGUAGACCAUCCACGUUUCACAGGGUUGGGAGGGGAAUGGCUUUAUAAACAAGCACCUAGGUUUCUCUACGGAUGUUCUGUUCAUCAAACACUCUCUGCUUCAUUCUGAAAAAUGCUGCACUCGCAGAGCUCAGCCGGUGUUGUAUUUCAGUGUCGAUGUUAACUUUUGUGGAGAGGUAGCGGAAAUGGCCCACAUUUUCUAAUGUUACACCAUUAAUCUGUAUACCUGGCAUUGCAGAGGGAUUAGCUGGUGCCUGUUGGAAGAGCUUUGGUUUUCUCCAUGUUCAGUGAGAGGCUGAGCUUCUAGUAUGCUUCUGCGAAGGUGUUUAGUGUGGCUUGUAUGUCUUCUUCUGAGUGCGCACAAUAAAGUAUUGUGAAUGUAA